GCCUUCGUGAUGUAAUGGUCAACACAUUCGGCGAGUAUUCAAGAGGUCCAGGGUUCAACUCCCGGCGAAGGCA
RNAcentral lists this transfer RNA (73 nucleotides) under Stegodyphus mimosarum. It matches the Rfam family "tRNA". From Rfam's summary of the family: Transfer RNA (tRNA) molecules are approximately 80 nucleotides in length. The record is from Rfam by way of RNAcentral. Lineage: Eukaryota; Metazoa; Arthropoda; Arachnida; Araneae; Eresidae.